RNAcentral lists this ribosomal RNA (531 nucleotides) under uncultured bacterium. RNAcentral describes it as "bacterial SSU rRNA". It matches the Rfam family "Bacterial small subunit ribosomal RNA", at positions 397 to 918 of the family's 1533-position model. The record is from RNAcentral.
CCGCGUGUCUGAAGAAGGCCUUCGGGUUGUAAAGGACUUUUUGUCAGGGGAGCAAAACUUACUGGUUAAUACCCGGUGAGGCUGAGAGUACCUGAAGAAUAAGCACCGGCUAACUACGUGCCAGCAGCCGCGGUAAUACGUAGGGUGCAAGCGUUAAUCGGAAUUACUGGGCGUAAAGCGUGCGCAGGCGGACUUUUAAGCCAGAUGUGAAAGCCCCGAGCUUAACUUGGGAAUUGCGUUUGGAACUGGGAGUCUAGAGUCUGUCAGAGGGGAUGGAAUUCCACGUGUAGCAGUGAAAUGCGUAGAGAUGUGGAGGAACACCGAUGGCGAAGGCAGUCCCCUGGGAUAAGACUGACGCUCAUGCACGAAAGCGUGGGGAGCAAACAGGAUUAGAUACCCUGGUAGUCCACGCCCUAAACGAUGUCUACUAGUUGUUGGGGUAGCAAUACCUCAGUGACGCAGACUAACGCGUGAAGUAGACCGCCUGGGGAGUACGGUCGCAAGAAUUAAAACUCAAAGGAAUUGACGGGG